Molecule: long non-coding RNA, 1673 nt
Organism: Eucalyptus grandis
Lineage: Eukaryota; Viridiplantae; Streptophyta; Magnoliopsida; Myrtales; Myrtaceae
Exons: 5
Source: RefSeq, a predicted model, not a curated record
UGAUAGUUCCGGUCUCCGACUAUGGUAAAGAGAGAUUGAUAAAAGCUGCAAAUAUGAUGAGAGAGAGUCUCGGAGUCCCUACACCAGGGAAAGAAUAAGCGGGCUGUGAUCCGAUCCUAUUGCUGGUAGAGCAAAGACCUGCGCAUUGGGGUGAAAGCACAUCCCUUACUCUCAAUAUCUAUCAAAGAACAAUCGUCCAAGAACCCCCGAAAGGUUGCAAUUCUAUAACGGUCCACCUCCCUGCAUCCAACUUUUUCCCAAUGGAGCUUUAUAUGUCGCCUUUCCCUUCUUGGAGUUUUGUGAAGAUGUCUCAAUUCCAGCCUGAUAGAGAGCACCUCUGUUGGAGUCUCCAUGACAACUUCUUCUUCAGUAGCCAAAGGAUCUGGUUUGCCAUAAAAGGUCUUCUAAUAAGGGCUGUUUUCUCUCACUUCCGCCUUUAGACAUGAACCAUAACGGCCCGGUAGGUCCUGAGGUAAUCCAGUUUCUUCAUACGGUAUUUCAGUGCAGUAGUUAGCAUAGUGCCCAAUUCGACCGCAUGAAUAGCAAAAAUGCGGAAGCCUUUCAUAUUUAUAAUCAAUCCACCAUUUUUUUGUCCCCGCAGGUUAUAACAGUACCUGUUUUAAGUGGGCUUGACAGGUUUAGCAGCACUUUAGCCUUUCCAUUUUUCCUGGUAUUUGUGCCUCUCGCCUCAAUCUUUAUCUCCUCUACUUUCCCCAAUCUUGAAGCUAAGAGACGUAUGGCACCUUCAUUAACUCUUGCACGGGGAAGACCUAUGAAGUGAACCCAGAACGCAUAAUGCAUGAAUUCAUAACAGUGCUCAGGUAUGUUUGGGUCACCUUCUUUAAGGACCAAUAAAUUGCUCAUGAAAGACCAAGGUCCUGUUUCUAGCACCCUUCUUUUUUCUUCACUUGAUGGGAAGAUAAAAGAGAAAUAACCCGGUUCAAUUUGUUCACAUUUCACUGAAUCAACUUUCCAUGCUCUCUUCAUAGUAUUACUUAAGGCCUGAAAAUUUGCAUUUGGCUUCGAAUAUAACUUGCCAUAUAGGGUUAAGUCACUUUGUUGUUUUGCCUCUUCUGGAAUUUCUUCCCCUAGGUCUGUGAUGUCAUCUUCAGACCACAAAUCUCCCAUUCUAUGGCACAACGCUGCUAAACGAAGAUGAUUUUCCUCUCUAUCAGCCAUUACCAAUAUCUGGUCAGGUUUUGCAGCAAAUUAAUUUGGUGGUUUGGCUAUGGAGUGAAGGGAGCUCUAGAAGCGAUUCUACCCAGGUAUAUUUCGACUAAAGGAGGGUCUGCUUUAGGGAACUAGUAUGCCACCAUAAACACAAAAAUGCUGAGGAAGCACAAGACCUAGGCCUCUAAGAUCCAGUAACAAGUGAAUGUUCCAGCUAUACAGUCACUCUUACCAGCCGAUUGUUCCUUCAGAUCCUGGCCGAGCUUCAAGGAUUCGUGGGUUGUUCUUCAAAAGGUGUUCGGUGGAAACCCAGCAAAACCAGCACCGCUUCUCACCAUCGGUGCCAUGCGGGUGAAGUAGAUUAGAGACAACUCCUUUAAUCUGGUGAUGUAUGCUUGAAGACUGCCAUGAUUUGCAGAUCUAGGGUUUUUUAAUUUGGGUUUUGUCUUAGGGAUUGAGAGAAGCUACCACAAAGGGGUAGAGAAGAAACUCAACCAUUGUUG